AAGCUCGUAGUUGAAUUUCGGGAUUUAUCCGUCGGUCGGGCUUUUGGGUCUGUACUGGCGUGAUGGAUUCCUACCUUCUGAAUAACCGGCAUGUCAUUAAUUUGGUGCGCUGGGGAAGCAGGACUGUUACCUUGAAAAAAUUAGAGUGUUUAAAGCAGGCUCACGCUUGAAUACAUUAGCAUGGAAUAAUGAAAUAGGACGUUCGAUCCUAUUUUGUUGGUUUUAGGAUCAACGUAAUGAUUAAUAGGGAUAGUUGGG
This 258-nucleotide ribosomal RNA is filed under the name uncultured Acaulospora. RNAcentral's name for it is "partial 18S ribosomal RNA". It matches the Rfam family "Eukaryotic small subunit ribosomal RNA", at positions 624 to 886 of the family's 1831-position model. Lineage: Eukaryota; Fungi; Glomeromycota; Glomeromycetes; Diversisporales; Acaulosporaceae. The record is from RNAcentral.